Molecule: ribosomal RNA, 569 nt
Filed under: uncultured bacterium
Lineage: Bacteria
Description: partial 16S ribosomal RNA
Rfam family: Bacterial small subunit ribosomal RNA
Source: RNAcentral
UGGGGAAUAUUGCACAAUGGGCGCAAGCCUGAUGCAGCCAUGCCGCGUGUGUGAAGAAGGCCUUUGGGUUGUAAAGCACUUUCAGCGAGGAGGAAGGUGGUGAGCUUAAUACGCUCAUCAAUUGACGUUACUCGCAGAAGAAGCACCGGCUAACUCCGUGCCAGCAGCCGCGGUAAUACGGAGGGUGCAAGCGUUAAUCGGAAUUACUGGGCGUAAAGCGCACGCAGGCGGUUUGUUAAGUCAGAUGUGAAAUCCCCGGGCUCAACCUGGGAACUGCAUUUGAAACUGGCAAGCUAGAGCCUCGUAGAGGGGGGUAGAAUUCCAGGUGUAGCGGUGAAAUGCGUAGAGAUCUGGAGGAAUACCGGUGGCGAAGGCGGCCCCCUGGACGAAGACUGACGCUCAGGUGCGAAAGCGUGGGGCAGCAAACAGGAUUAGAUACCCUGGUAGUCCACGCUGUAAAACGAUGUCGAUUUGGAGGUUGUGCCCUUGAGGCGUGGCUUCCGGAGCUAACGCGUUAAAUCGACCGCCUGGGGAGUACGGCCGCAAGGUUAAAACUUAAAUGAAUUGAC